AGGGUGAUAGCGAUGAGACAAGACUGAGAUCUCCUGACCAGGAAUCCUAACAUGGUGGUGGCCUGUGGAUGACCUCUGGGGGACCAGGGCCCCUCCCCCAACUUGAUCAAUAUUCUGCAUCUGAGCCUUCUUCCCAAGAGAAGUUUCAGCACAUUUACCAGAUUUUCAGAGUCUGUGGCUCCUUCUCUCGAGCUGCAUCAGUGAAGUCCCAAGGUCCUCCCAGCAGCCCUUCAAGGUAUGGAGACGAGGCUGUUCCCUGCAAAAGCACCUGGCGUUCAUCAGGGCAAUCAACACGUGCUGCCUCCCCAUGCAACACACAGAAAAGAAUUCCAGAAAGUGGCUUUAGACAUCUAUACCCUUGCCAUGGCACCAUGCUCGGCAGAACGUACUCCUCCACUCCCCAAUCCUGGGCUUCACCAAAGGGAAGUUAGCAGAUGCAGCACAAGGAGCAGAGGCUUGAAGUAUACUCCCGCAGCUGAGCUUGCCUCUCGAGCUUCUGCCAUUGCAGUAGGAAGAA
Molecule: long non-coding RNA, 517 nt
Organism: Lagenorhynchus albirostris (white-beaked dolphin)
Lineage: Eukaryota; Metazoa; Chordata; Mammalia; Artiodactyla; Delphinidae
Exons: 3
Source: RefSeq, a predicted model, not a curated record